This is a long non-coding RNA of Harpegnathos saltator (Jerdon's jumping ant), 1295 nucleotides long. RefSeq lists it as uncharacterized. The record is from RefSeq and is a predicted model, not a curated record. NCBI's taxonomy places the organism in Eukaryota, Metazoa, Arthropoda, Insecta, Hymenoptera, Formicidae. The transcript has 3 exons.
UAUCUUUACAUUCAUCAUCAGAUACACAUUUCCUCUUAAAUGAAUACAACUUUAUCUACUAUUGUAGUUAUUUUUGUUUUAAGUAACUUUUCUCAAAAUAUCCAGAAAUUUCGCAAGUUGUAUGCUCAAACAUGAUACGUCAUCGAUUUCUUUUGUUAAUUUUCGUCAAGAUCGCAAGGUGGCGGUUAAAACCGGUAUUUUUGAACUAGCCACUUCGCUGUCUGUCGAGUGGAUCGAGAUAGGGUUUAAAUUGUUGGCAAUCGUAGAGUCGCACCGUUUCUAGCGGGACUUGUUGACGCCCAGCAGCUGACAGUCACGGUCGCGACGAUGGCCACGUGCAACGCGACUCGGCGUGACGCACAUGUCCGCUCAGUACACAGUAUGCCUUAGCUCGCGAAGUAUCAGUUAUACGUCUUGCCGUAAGAUUCUCCUCGGACGUUUCUCGCAAGAGCGAAACUCUUUCUCCAAAUCUCUCAUCUUUCAGCGACAAAUAAUCAACAGUGAUCAACGAUGAAAUAGUGAAGCAACACGAUGUGCCAAAGUAACACAUGUAACUGUAAAAGGUUUACGUGUCUAACAUCAGUGUAGAAAAGAAAAAGACAUAUCAUCUCUCGGCUGAAUAUGGAAUUGGAAGAUAUGCGCUUCGAAACGCACGCGAUGGGUGGGUGAGAGAGAAGAAGGGUUGAAGGUUGGUGGCUCUAAUUGGAUUAAAAUUUCAUCGAUGGGUGCACCUUUGCAAGAACCCUUUUACGUUGAGACACUGGAUGCUGGGUUUUCAUCAUAAAUCGCGGUAUAAUUAUCCUUAAAUGAUCAUGAAAUAGCAGGAUAUAGGAAGGACGAAACGUGCGCGAUAUGAGGAGAAAGGAUGAUCGACAGGUUGAGCUUUUAUAGUGAAAAGUCGACACGAAAGAUGAAAUAUGAUGCAUAUCAUGUCGUGAGGGACAAGGAAUAUUUAUGAUAAAGGACGUCAUAUUCGACAUUAAUAAUGAGCGAGAGGUUGGCGCGAAAUCAGAGUAUAAUUCGCGAUUACUCAACGUGAAAUUCAAAUGAAUGACUCUCGCAAAGUUUCCUCUGACGUUGAAGGUUGAAUGGCAAAAAAUUGGAACGAAGUCGGCAAGAAAUAUUCGUGGAAUAUUUGACCAGAAAUUCGAACAGCCUUCGUAAGACUCAAGAUAGUUUCAACUGAAGUUUUGAAGCUGAUGAUAUAAAAAGAAAAGAGGGGACUAAUCAUAAGAAUAAUAAAUCGACAAAUAAAUUGCAUAGGAUUUUUAUAAAGUGUCGAAUAUAUCUCGAAA